Molecule: ribosomal RNA, 406 nt
Filed under: uncultured Clostridium sp.
Lineage: Bacteria; Bacillati; Bacillota; Clostridia; Eubacteriales; Clostridiaceae
Description: bacterial SSU rRNA
Rfam family: Bacterial small subunit ribosomal RNA
Source: RNAcentral
GGGGAAUAUUGCACAAUGGGCGAAAGCCUGAUGCAGCGACGCCGCGUGAGGGAUGACGGCCUUCGGGUUGUAAACCUCUUUCAGCAGGGAAGAAGCGAAAGUGACGGUACCUGCAGAAGAAGCGCCGGCUAACUACGUGCCAGCAGCCGCGGUAAUACGUAGGUGGCAAGCGUUGUCCGGAUUUACUGGGCGUAAAGGGAGCGUAGGCGGAUACUUAAGUGGGAUGUGAAAUACCUGGGCUUAACUUGGGUGCUGCAUUCCAAACUGGGUGUCUAGAGUGUUGGAGAGGAAAGUGGAAUUCCUAGUGUAGCGGUGAAAUGCGUAGAGAUUAGGAAGAACACCAGUGGCGAAGGCGACUUUCUGGACAAUAACGGACGCUGAGGCUCGAAAGCGUGGGGAGCAAACA